This 684-nucleotide ribosomal RNA is filed under the name Lactarius brunneohepaticus. RNAcentral's name for it is "eukaryotic LSU rRNA". The stretch from base 206 to 359 matches the Rfam family "5.8S ribosomal RNA". The record is from RNAcentral. Lineage: Eukaryota; Fungi; Basidiomycota; Agaricomycetes; Russulales; Russulaceae.
AUGUGAGGGGCAUGUGAGGGCUGUCGCUGACUCAAAGUCGUGCACGCCCGAGUGUGUCCUCUCACAUAAUAAUCCAUCUCACCCUUUGUGCAUCGCCGCGUGGGCACCCUUUGGGAUCAUCUCGGAGGGGGCUCGCGUUUUCACACAAACCCCCCUUUUAAAAGUGUAGAAUGACCUCAUUUAUGCGCUAACACGCAAUCAAUACAACUUUCAACAACGGAUCUCUUGGCUCUCGCAUCGAUGAAGAACGCAGCGAAAUGCGAUACGUAAUGUGAAUUGCAGAAUUCAGUGAAUCAUCGAAUCUUUGAACGCACCUUGCGCCCCUUGGUAUUCCGAGGGGCACACCCGUUUGAGUGUCGUGAAAACCUCAACCUCCUUGGUUUCUUCUGGAGACCAAAGGCAGGCUUGGACUUUGGAGGCCUUUGCUGGAACCUCUCUCUUUUGAAGGCCAGCUCCUCUUAAACGAAUUAGCAGGGUCCUCUUUGCCGAUCCUCGACGUGUGAUAAGAUGUUUCCAUGUCUUGGUUUCUGGCUCUGUCACUUUUGGGACCCGCUUCUAACCGUCUUGACCUUGCAUCGAGACAAUGUUCGAGCAUGUCUCCCUUCUCGGGAAGCUCCCUCGACCCCACGAACCCUUGACCUCAAAUCGGGUGAGACUACCCGCUGAACUUAAGCAUAUCAAUAA